UCCGGUGACGAAGGCGGGAUGGAGACACCUGAAUACAUUCCGAACUCAGCAGUUAAGCACCCCAGCGGCGACGAUAGUUGGCCUUGCGCCUGCGAAAAUAGCACGUUGCCGGGU
Molecule: ribosomal RNA, 114 nt
Organism: Firmicutes bacterium M10-2
Lineage: Bacteria; Bacillati; Bacillota
Source: Rfam